UCACUCCAACACAGCCUCCCUUGAGGAAGAUGAAGUAUUUGUCCCCAAGAAAAAAUCUAACACCCGUUGGUUCGCCAGAUACCUUAACAACCCACUAGGCCGUCUCCUUACACUUAUUAUUACUCUUACCCUUGGCUGGCCUCUGUACCUAUUAUUCAAUGUCUCAGGCAGGCAUUAUGAUCGCUUUGCCUGCCACUAUGACCCAUAUGGACCUAUCUACACUGACCGUGAGAGGGCUGAGAUAUUCAUAUCUGAUGCUGGUGUUAUUGCAGUCGCCUAUGGUCUCUUCCGUAUUGCUGCAGCGAAGGGGCUUGCUUGGGUAGUCUGUGUUUAUGGAGUUCCUUUGUUGGUGGUGAAUGC
RNAcentral lists this long non-coding RNA (360 nucleotides) under Manihot esculenta (cassava). RNAcentral describes it as "long non-coding RNA (MESC_LNC005211)". The record is from RNAcentral. Lineage: Eukaryota; Viridiplantae; Streptophyta; Magnoliopsida; Malpighiales; Euphorbiaceae.